UACGUAGGGGGGCAAGCGUUGUCCGGAUUUAUUGGGCGUAAAGAGCGUGUAGGCGGCCAGGUAGGUCUGCUGUGAAAACUCGAGGCUUAACCUCGAGAUGUCGGCGGAAACCAUCUGGCUAGAGUCCGGAAGAGGAGAAUGGAAUUCCCGGUGUAGCGGUGAAAUGCGCAGAUAUCGGGAAGAACACCCGUGGCGAAGGCGGUUCUCUGGGACGGUACUGACGCUGAGACGCGAAAGCGUGGGGAGCGAACAGG
Molecule: ribosomal RNA, 254 nt
Filed under: uncultured bacterium
Lineage: Bacteria
Description: partial 16S ribosomal RNA
Rfam family: Bacterial small subunit ribosomal RNA
Source: RNAcentral